AAGGCCCUAGCUUAAUUAAAGCACUUGAGUUGCAUUCAUGGGAUGUAGGUUAAUGUCCUGCGGGUCUUA
Molecule: transfer RNA, 69 nt
Filed under: Coccyzus erythropthalmus (black-billed cuckoo)
Lineage: Eukaryota; Metazoa; Chordata; Aves; Cuculiformes; Coccyzidae
Also listed under: 1 other name
Description: tRNA-Ala
Rfam family: tRNA
About the family: Transfer RNA (tRNA) molecules are approximately 80 nucleotides in length. Their secondary structure includes four short double-helical elements and three loops (D, anti-codon, and T loops).
Source: RNAcentral